AAUCAUUUGUCUUUUAAAUAAAGACUAGUAUGAAUGGCAUCACGAGGACUUAACUGUCUCCCUAAUUUAAUCAGUGAAACUGAUCUUCCUGUGAAAAAGCAGGAAUAACUAAAUAAGACGAGAAGACCCUAUGGAGCUUAAAAUCUAAAUCUACCUGUAUUUUCUGAUAAUAAAUAUAUCACUAAUUUAUAGGCCUAGAUUAAGUUUUUGGUUGGGGCGACAAUGGAGAAAAAUUUAUCCUCCAUGAAGAAAAACCUUUGAGUUACCACUCUUAGUAUUAGCAAGCCUAACUUAAAUUGAUCCAAAUUUUUUGAUCAACGGAACAAGUUACCCUAGGGAUAACAGCGCAAUCCAUUUCAAGAGUUCCUAUCGACAAAUGGGUUUACGACCUCGAUGUUGGAUUAGGACAUCCUAGUGGUGCAGCCGCUACUAAGGGUUCGUUUGUUCAACGAUUAAAGUCCU
RNAcentral lists this ribosomal RNA (462 nucleotides) under Aglyptodactylus laticeps. RNAcentral's name for it is "partial 16S ribosomal RNA". It matches the Rfam family "Bacterial large subunit ribosomal RNA", at positions 1963 to 2597 of the family's 2925-position model. The record is from RNAcentral. Lineage: Eukaryota; Metazoa; Chordata; Amphibia; Anura; Mantellidae.